Long non-coding RNA from Homo sapiens (human), 603 nucleotides. Ensembl annotates it as small nucleolar RNA host gene 20. Its record names the gene SNHG20. Lineage: Eukaryota; Metazoa; Chordata; Mammalia; Primates; Hominidae. The record is from Ensembl.
ACUCGCAGUCCGCAGGAUGACUCAGGGCAGCCCUGACCACAGUUCCGCCGCCAUCGGCCCUAGCCUGCGGAAUUGGGCUCGCCCCGGGACGAUAACAGAGCUCUGCCGGGGGCUGGAGGCACUGACCGGGUGACCAGAGACCCAGAGACCAGACCCCCUCCACGGCGCCCGGGAUUUCGGGGACGGCUUCUCCCAUCGCAAGUUUCAACAGAAAAUGAGAAAUAUCCCCCGACGAUUGGCUGAAAACAUGCAGCAACCACUAUUUUCUUCCUGCCCCUCGUUGAUGAGAGCAUUCGAAGUGACCUCAGCAGGGCAUCCAGGUCAGUUUCUGGAAGACUUGUGUGUGUGAUGAAUGAAUAUCUGGUUUUGUCUCUGCUGGGCCUGUGUGCCUGGAAAGGAAUUGUUUUGGCCUAGGAUCAUCCAGAUCAAUUAUGCAGCUACAGCCAAAACCAAGUUCUUUUUAUUGCAAUGGUAAUGAAAGGAGCCCCGUGUAAGUCACUGGAAGGUCACAUGUUCACAGACUGUCAGCUGUGGAGGGUUAUGUAACAGUGGUUAUGCAAUGCCACGUUAGAACUACAGCCCGAGCAGCAAAACAUUUAGAUA